AACGAACGCUGGCGGCAUGCCUAACACAUGCAAGUCGAACGAGACCUUCGGGUCUAGUGGCGCACGGGUGCGUAACGCGUGGGAACCUGCCUUUAGGUUCGGAAUAACUCAGAGAAAUUUGAGCUAAUACCGGAUGAUGUCUUCGGACCAAAGAUUUAUCGCCUUUAGAUGGGCCCGCGUUGGAUUAGCUAGUUGGUGGGGUAAAGGCCUACCAAGGCGACGAUCCAUAGCUGGUCUGAGAGGAUGAUCAGCCACACUGGGACUGAGACACGGCCCAGACUUCUACGGGAGGCAGCAGUGGGGAAUAUUGGACAAUGGGCGAAAGCCUGAUCCAGCAAUGCCGCGUGAGUGAUGAAGGCCUUAGGGUUGUAAAGCUCUUUUACCCGAGAUGAUAAUGACAGUAGCGGGAGAAUAAGCUCCGGCUAACUCCGUG
RNAcentral lists this ribosomal RNA (433 nucleotides) under uncultured bacterium. RNAcentral's name for it is "partial 16S ribosomal RNA". It matches the Rfam family "Bacterial small subunit ribosomal RNA", at positions 29 to 507 of the family's 1533-position model. The record is from RNAcentral.